Molecule: ribosomal RNA, 497 nt
Filed under: uncultured bacterium
Lineage: Bacteria
Description: partial 16S ribosomal RNA
Rfam family: Bacterial small subunit ribosomal RNA
Source: RNAcentral
GAUGAACGCUGGCGGCGUGCCUAAUACAUGCAAGUCGAGCGAACAGACGAGGAGCUUGCUCCUCUGACGUUAGCGGCGGACGGGUGAGUAACACGUGGAUAACCUACCUAUAAGACUGGGAUAACUUCGGGAAACCGGAGCUAAUACCGGAUAAUAUAUUGAACCGCAUGGUUCAAUAGUGAAAGACGGUUUUGCUGUCACUUAUAGAUGGAUCCGCGCCGCAUUAGCUAGUUGGUAAGGUAACGGCUUACCAAGGCGACGAUGCGUAGCCGACCUGAGAGGGUGAUCGGCCACAUUGGAACUGAGACACGGUCCAGACUCCUACGGGAGGCAGCAGUAGGGAAUCUUCCGCAAUGGGCGAAAGCCUGACGGAGCAACGCCGCGUGAGUGAUGAAGGUCUUCGGAUCGUAAAACUCUGUUAUUAGGGAAGAACAAAUGUGUAAGUAACUAUGCACGUCUUGACGGUACCUAAUCAGAAAGCCACGGCUAACUACGUG